RNAcentral lists this long non-coding RNA (430 nucleotides) under Pan troglodytes (chimpanzee). RNAcentral's name for it is "long non-coding RNA NONPTRT017416". The record is from RNAcentral. Lineage: Eukaryota; Metazoa; Chordata; Mammalia; Primates; Hominidae.
GCUUUAUCUUUGCAUCCCUCAUAGCACCACAGCCUGGCAUCCUGCUCAAUAUGCUUGGGCCAGUUUGUGAUUUUUCAGGAGGAUUGGAAAAGUGCUAAUGCUUUAGGAGGUGGCAGUGACAGAAAGCUGGAAGACUUCUCUGAAGAACAGUGACAGGAGCAAAAGAGAGAGACGCCCAGGACUUGUAGGAGCUGCAGGAGGACCCUUUCCCUUCCGCAUGAGGAGAGGCAUGAGGGUGUGAAAUCUGACCAGCUAGAGUGAUUUUGUAACCACCAGAUAAGAAACUGCAGCUGCUGAGGGGCCAUUCUGAGCAGUCCAGGAAUGAAGUCAACACCACAAAAGGCAGACGAGCGAGAUGGUGAGAAACCAGGUCCUGGGGUAUCCUUUGAGGCACUGGACCAAGUCUGACCUGAGGUCUGUCUGACUACUG